This 450-nucleotide ribosomal RNA is filed under the name uncultured bacterium. RNAcentral describes it as "partial 16S ribosomal RNA". It matches the Rfam family "Bacterial small subunit ribosomal RNA", at positions 354 to 796 of the family's 1533-position model. The record is from RNAcentral.
GUGGGGAAUAUUGGACAAUGGGCGAAAGCCUGAUCCAGCCAUGCCGCGUGUGUGAAGAAGGUCUUCGGAUUGUAAAGCACUUUAAGUUGGGAGGAAGGGCAGUAAGUUAAUACCUUGCUGUUUUGACGUUACCGACAGAAUAAGCACCGGCUAACUUCGUGCCAGCAGCCGCGGUACUUCGACGGGUGCAAGCGUUAAUCGGAAUUACUGGGCGUAAAGCGCGCGUAGGUGGUUUUGUAAGUUGGAGGUUAAAUCCCCGGGCUCAACCUGGGAACUGCCUGCAAAACUGCAUGACUAGAGGACGGUAGAGGGUAGUGAAAUGUCCUGUGUAGCGGUGAAAUGCGUAGAUAUAGGAAGGAACACCAGUGGCGAAGGCGACUACCUGGACUGAUACUGACACUGGGGUGCGAAAGCGUGGGGAGCAAACAGGAUUAGAAACCCCGGUAGUCC